UACGAAGGGGGCUAGCGUUGCUCGGAAUCACUGGGCGUAAAGGGUGCGUAGGCGGGUUUUUAAGUCAGAGGUGAAAUCCUGGAGCUCAACUCCAGAACUGCCUUUGAUACUGAAAGUCUUGAGUAUGGGAGAGGUAUGUGGAACUCCGAGUGUAGAGGUGAAAUUCGUAGAUAUUCGGAAGAACACCAGUGGCGAAGGCGACAUACUGGAUCAUUACUGACGCUGAGGCUCGAAAGCGUGGGGAGCAAACAGG
This 253-nucleotide ribosomal RNA is filed under the name uncultured bacterium. Its description in RNAcentral is "partial 16S ribosomal RNA". It matches the Rfam family "Bacterial small subunit ribosomal RNA", at positions 524 to 776 of the family's 1533-position model. The record is from RNAcentral.